CCUACGGGUGGCAGCAGUGGGGAAUAUUGCACAAUGGGCGCAAGCCUGAUGCAGCGACGCCGCGUGAGGGAUGACGGCCUUCGGGUUGUAAACCUCUUUCAGCAGGGACGAAGCGCAAGUGACGGUACCUGUAGAAGAAGGACCGGCCAACUACGUGCCAGCAGCCGCGGUAAUACGUAGGGUCCGAGCGUUGUCCGGAAUUACUGGGCGUAAAGAGCUCGUAGGUGGUUUGUCGCGUUGUUCGUGAAAACUCACAGCUUAACUGUGGGCGUGCGGGCGAUACGGGCAGACUGGAGUACUGCAGGGGAGACUGGAAUUCCUGGUGUAGCGGUGGAAUGCGCAGAUAUCAGGAGGAACACCGGUGGCGAAGGCGGGUCUCUGGGCAGUAACUGACGCUGAGGAGCGAAAGCGUGGGGAGCGAACAGGAUUAGAUACCCCUGUAGUC
Molecule: ribosomal RNA, 445 nt
Filed under: uncultured Mycobacterium sp.
Lineage: Bacteria; Bacillati; Actinomycetota; Actinomycetes; Mycobacteriales; Mycobacteriaceae
Description: bacterial SSU rRNA
Rfam family: Bacterial small subunit ribosomal RNA
Source: RNAcentral